CAUUAGAAAUAUAAGGAGAGGGUAAGGAGAUCAAACUACAUUUGCAGCUUAAACCUUAUAACAAGGAAGUAUACUAAAAUGUUAAUAAUACUUAAGAACAAACAUGUUCCUGUUCAAUUUAUCAUGUGGUUAAUGUCUGAAUUGGAAACAUAGAUUCAUAGUAAAUAGCUAUGCACUAAUUUGAUAUAUUUAAAACUUAGUAUGUCAUGUGUCUAUAAUCAUCUAUAUUUAAUUUAUUUAUCGAUUAGCCUCUAACUUUCUAUAUUAAAAAAAAAGUAAUGAACUAAUCAAUGGCAAAGAGAGUUCCAACUUUCUGAAAUAAUGUUCUCAUUCCAGCUAUUCGAACACAAAAUACCCAAAAAGGAUUGCUUUCUACUGCUCUCAAUGUCUUGGCUCAGGUUCUCUUCUAUUCGAAGAAGGUUUCUCGAUCAUCUGAAGGGGCUUAAUCGCCAUAUCUCCACAUCGGUGGAGGCAGUGAGCGAUGAUGUAAGGUUAAGGGGAACCGCUUAUGCAGGAGUUGUAGAACAGGUAUCUCUUUGCUGCAUAAAUUGGGAGCAGAGGUUAAUGGCAACACGGUGAAAGAUAUUUCUGGUGAGAAUAAAGCCUCUACCAAUGGCUGGUUCCAUUUCCGAUUGAUGCUGUGAUUGAUGAGGUUGGUGGAUGGUGUCAUGGAGAUGUUAAAACGGGUGGGGUGGUUUGUAGCCAAGAGUCAUUGAAGAUGCAAAUAUUAUUAACGGAUCCAACUUUUCAGCUCAG
Arachis duranensis is the source of this 756-nucleotide long non-coding RNA. RefSeq lists it as uncharacterized. The record is from RefSeq and is a predicted model, not a curated record. The transcript has 3 exons. NCBI's taxonomy places the organism in Eukaryota, Viridiplantae, Streptophyta, Magnoliopsida, Fabales, Fabaceae.